RNAcentral lists this unclassified non-coding RNA (218 nucleotides) under Hevea brasiliensis (rubber tree). Lineage: Eukaryota; Viridiplantae; Streptophyta; Magnoliopsida; Malpighiales; Euphorbiaceae. The record is from RNAcentral.
AUGAGUUUUAUGAUGAUCAGCCAAAGGAGGUCGACCAGGUUCAUUCUUUCCAAUCCCAGUUGCAAUUAAUUUGGUCCCAUAAUUAAAUAUGGAAAAAAAUCAUAUUAAAAAAAAUCACCAUCAUCGUGGUCGUCGUACAUUCAAAUAGGUGUGUAUAAUUGGUACUGAUUCCUGAGCAGGGUCAAACUCCAAGGGGCUGAAGAGAAUGGCUAACAACG